GGGUAGAUGCCCGAGAGGCCAAAGGGAGCAGACUGUAAAUCUGCCGUCAGUGACUUCGAUGGUUCGAAUCCAUCUCUGCCCACCA
This 85-nucleotide transfer RNA is filed under the name Clostridiales bacterium. RNAcentral describes it as "tRNA-Tyr". It matches the Rfam family "tRNA". Rfam says of the family: Transfer RNA (tRNA) molecules are approximately 80 nucleotides in length. Their secondary structure includes four short double-helical elements and three loops (D, anti-codon, and T loops). RNAcentral also lists the same sequence under 1 other name. The record is from RNAcentral. Lineage: Bacteria; Bacillati; Bacillota; Clostridia; Eubacteriales.